AGUGGCGGACGGGUGAGUAACGCGUGAGAAUCUGCCUUGGGGUCGGGGACAACCACUGGAAACGGUGGCUAAUACCGGAUAAGCCGAUUGGUGAAAGAUUUAUUGCCCGAAGAGGAGCUCGCGUCUGAUUAGCUAGUUGGUGAGGUAAGAGCUCACCAAGGCAGCGAUCAGUAGCUGGUCUGAGAGGACGAUGAGCCACACUGGGACUGAGACACGGCCCAGACUCCUACGGGAGGCAGCAGUGGGGAAUUUUCCGCAAUGGGCGAAAGCCUGACGGAGCAAGACCGCGUGAGGGAGGAAGGCUCUUGGGUUGUAAACCUCUUUUCUCAGGGAAGAAGCUCUGACGGUACCUGAGGAAUCAGCCUCGGCUAACUCCGUGCCAGCAGCCGCGGUAAUACGGAGGAGGCAAGCGGUAUCCGGAAUUAUUGGGCGUAAAGCGUCCGCAGGUGGCGAUUCAAGUCUGCUGUCAAAGCACGGGGCUUAACUCCGUAAAGGCAGUGGAAACUGAAUAGCUAGAGUGCCGUAGGGGUAGAGGGAAUUCCCGGUGUAGCGGUGAAAUGCGUAGAGAUCGGGAAGAACAUCGGUGGCGAAAGCGCUCUACUGGACGGCAAACUGACACUCAGGGACGAAAGCUAGGGGAGCGAAUGGGAUUAGAUACCCC
This 661-nucleotide ribosomal RNA is filed under the name uncultured bacterium. Its description in RNAcentral is "bacterial SSU rRNA". It matches the Rfam family "Bacterial small subunit ribosomal RNA", at positions 94 to 788 of the family's 1533-position model. The record is from RNAcentral.